UCCGUCGUGUACAUCCAGACAAGACGCUAUGGUGUACAAUUUAAUGCAUGAAGUAAGCCCAUCACUUCGGUUUCAUUUUCUGAAUUUCUUUUGAACUUGUUGUCACUUAACUUUUACAUGUAUCUAGUUACAGUAGUACUAACCAGAUCAAGCUACUUCAUUUUUUUUAUCAAAUUCUAGAACUUUUACAUAUCCGUACUGCUGCUGCUCCAUACUCGUAUUUGUUAUUUCUUCUUAUGUGUGCACUAAACUUCUAAUACUAUUCACGAUCCAGCUUCUAGUUUUUUGCUCUAUUAUGUGUUUCACUUCUACAAAAAAAGGCUGGGUUAUAUAAAUAGGACAAAGAUGUUUGCGUGCUUUCCAGAAAUAAAAUGGUUGGCAUGUAUUGACGAUGUAAAUAAAACUCUUCUCUUGUGUUGUUUGAAAAUAAAAUCACACAAGUACGUGGUGGAAGUUUGUAUCAGUUCGGAGGCCGUUCAACAAUACAUCACCCAGGUCGUCCACCUCUGCCACCCCAAGCCGUCACCUUUGCCACCCCCGUACACUCCCUCCCACCCCAUCUACAUUCAGUAGUUCUCUGCUUUUCUACCGAUGCAUGUUCAUGAGCAAUUCAAAACGUGUAGUUGUUCCCUGCUUUUCUAUAACACUUGUUAGAUUGCUCUCCAGAAACUGUAUGUGUUCGUGAAUUUGCUACUGGUGUAGCAACCCAAUAUGUAUUUUAUGAUCAGUUCAUAAAGAAAAGCUGAAACAGUGCAGUGUGUGUGUUAAAAAAUAUCAGUUUUAAAUUGUAUGGUAGUCCAUUUUAGUAUUGUUCUAGUCUCAUAUAUACUUCAGUUCUAAAUACUUUGCUCAUUGUGAUCAGAGAUAAUACAAAGUAUGAUGCAGUUUUGAAGCAAUCCCGAUGUCUCUUCGGAAAGCAUUCAUGGUUAAAAAGCAGCGGCAGCCUCUGUUCAAGUUGAGCACUCUAUUUUUUUCUCUGUUUUGCCCGAUUGAUAUCAGCCACUGCAAGUCCUUUUCUCCAGCCAUGAAUUCUAUGUUUCCACAUUUAGAUAUACUAGUUGAUCUGCUGAAAGAUACGAUAUGUGUACUGCUGAUAAUCUCAAACAUGUUUUACUUGAUUUUAGAAAACAUGUAAUUUUGUUGUGCUGCUUUUUAAUGUCUCCAGCAGUCCUACUUCUCCAUGACGACAAGGACGACGUCGCCAUGCGUGCUCGGCCGUGGUGUGCACGCUCUCCUUUCUUUCUCCUUCCGAGACAGUGAGGUGCUCCAGCAAGCGGCCGCUGGUGGGAUCCGCAGGUUAGCCCCCAUCUUCCACCUCCCCUACUCUCCUCUUCAACAGGAGCAACACCGUUAGGAGCUCGAAGUAAAACGAGGACGGCUGCAGCGACCGUGCAGUUCGCCCGCUCCUGUCCGACAAGUUCCCACCGUGCAUUUUUGUGUGUGUAGAAUUUCGUCUAAUCUAGUUCUCGAAUUUGGUCUACUUGUGUAAAUCUGUCAGUUCAAGACAAUUACCUUCUGAUGCUUGAAAUUAAGUCCUUUGUGAAUAUUGCUUGUUUCAGAAAGAAAUAGACUAUGUAAUUGCAUCACAUGGUGUACUGAUCAACAUAAACAUGGUGUACUGAACAAAACAUACACAUUCUAUCUAUUUAGCUGUGAGGAACAUUUAAAAAACGUUUGAUAUGCACAACAACAAUUGAGUCUUUGAUCCAGGAAUACACACACCCAAUGCCACUGCAAAUAGAUAGAUGGCCACCUCCUACCUGAUGUGUGUAAUUCAAAGUUCCAAACCCAAUGUAAAUUACUCCUGCUGCUUAACACAAAAAAUUUCACUUAUUUGGACGGAGGAAUAUACUACUUAUUGUCAUGAUCUAUUGAAGCCAAGAUCCGCUGUAGCAUUCGAAUCCCUUCAAUUCACUUAUAACUCUCUCGAUAAGUUCAGUGUGUGUGUAAUGGAAAAAACAAUAAUAUAAUAGUUCAGUUCAAUUCAACCAGUUGAUAUUGGAUUAUAUUGGUUGAUUGCAAAAUACUUUGUUGUUUGCCCAUCGCCAUGGCCUGCACCCUGACCAUCGCCACGGCCCCUCCUUUUCACGCCGUCGCAUCGUGCACUCACCACGCCGUGUGUGGCAUCCUCCCGGCGAAGCGCCCGUGCUGGCAACACGCACUGUGCCGCGGGACAAUUUUCCGGCGGCACCCUCCGCCGCCUCAGCCCAGGCCGUCCACCUCUGCCACCCCGGGCCGUUCACCACUGCGAAGAGAGCCCAUUCAACUACGUGAUAGAGAAUUUAUGUACCAGACUUAAUAUUAGUUCGGUGUGUAAUCUAUCGUCAGUCCAUGAAAAAUCACAGAAUAGUUGGUGUGUGUGCAGAAAUAUCGUCAGUGCAAGUUUUAAAAUUCUGUAAGUUUAGAUAUACCACCUAAAUAAGUAAUGAUUUGCAGCGAGUUUCUUCAAAAUUCUGUAAAGUUCAGAUAUAUCACCUAAAGUAUCGUCAGUGCAAGUUUCAAAAUUCUGUAAGUUUAGAUAUAUCAUAAAGAAAAAAUGAUGAGUCACCAUCUGCUUUAUAUUCAUGUUCUCUGCAACACAAGUAGCAGUGGGACUGACUGGGAGUGAUCCCUGAACCAUUUCAUUGAACGCCAUGGUUUCCAACAAUGCUAAUGCUACUAGAAAGUGUUAGAGGCCAUGAAGCCUCUUGGCUUCUCCAAUAAGCAGGUUUGGCCAGUCCUGAAGCGCCUCCUCAAGUUUCUGAGUACACGAUGCAUCGAUGCACGCAUCACAGGUGGCCAAACACGACGUGUUUUGUCCUGCACCCAGAAGCUUUGGAGGCGAUGUGUUGCCCUUUGUUCUUUAUUGACAAAUCUAGCAGUGAUGGUUCAUAUAGAACUUGAAAUUACCUAUCCGCCACGGGGAUGUACUGCCCUCAGUCCUCUCUCAACAAAUCGAGCAGUGCAGGUUCUCUGGUGCGCCAAGUAUUACCGGCGGCGAUGCCUGCUUAUAUAUUUCUGCUUUCAUGUAUUAAACCUUAUAAUCUGGUACUAUUUCAUGAUAAUAUGUGAACUGAAAGAAAGGUUCAACUAUUUGUUAUUUUAGUUGAGUUUAAUUUCUUAUUCUAGUUUAGUUUCAAAUUCGUAUCCCUUCAGUUCAGUUUCUAAAUUUGGUUUAGUUCAAUUCAGUUCAAUAUAUUUGUGCCAAUUCCUUCUUGUGAUGCUUAUAUGUAGCUGGAAAUGCAGAUGCUGCUGUUUUAGAAUUUAUCAUUCGGUAUGGAAUUAGGUGUGGUGUACCAUCAGUCACUGCUGUUGAUUUAGCCAGUUUGGUAGUACAUGAUAGUGGACGUCUCAAAAGUAUUUUUAUGUUUGAUGCAUGGCUUAUCUUGAUACUAGGCAUCACGCCACUUUACAACGACAUUACAGGGAUCAGACCAUUCUACAGCAUAAAUAUUAAACUACACGCCAGGAAAUUAGUACCUUUGUGCUUGCUAGGUGUUUGCAUGUCUCUAAGAACCAAACAGUACUAGUAACAUCCCUAUAUAGGGCCGUGAGUGUGCUAUUAAGUUUGUUGAUAUGUCUCUUAAGGACAAAAAUGAAAAAAUUGCAUCCUUUUCAGUUCAUUUUGGGGGUCAAGGACAAGUAAAUUUAGUGUCAUUGCUAAAAUGUAGGCGCUCGCCGCCGCCAUCUCCGACUGGAUCUAGCCUGGCUCCCCCUGGUUGCUAACACGACUUGUGCUGCUCUGGUGCUAGUGUGGGUGGGUAACAAGUUCAACUACGAGUCCAGACCAAGUUCUGGUAUGUUGCAUGUUUCCCACACAUUCCCUAGGAAAAAUACUUUUUAGCAUUCAGUUUUGUUCAAUUAUUAUUUUAGUUUCAGUUCAGUUCAAAUUUCUAAUUUUCAUUUCAAUUCAAUUCUUAUUUUUUCGCUAGCUACAAUCAGAACAAAAUACUCCUGCCUUCACCAGUUAACCUUCACUACAUGACAAACAGGUGCCCUGGCCUGCUCCUGACGAAGCACCCGCGCUGGCGACACGCAGCGUGCCCCGGCCCCAUGUCAGUUCCGGCGUUGCCCUUCGCCGGCUCAGCGCAAAGGCUGUUUUACUUGACAUAAAAAUUAGUAUAUGUUCUAUUGUAAAAACAUAUCUAAAAUGUCAUGAUGCAUGCUAGCAGAAAUCUGAAAAUACACUCAGUUCAGUUCCUAUAUUUUAUUUCAGUUCAAUUUAGAACUAUUUGCAACUGUUCAGACUCGAGUGUUCCUAUAUUUUAUUUCAGUUCAAUUUAGAAGUAUUUACAACUGUUCAGACUUGAGUUUACAACGGAAAAACAUUUGGAAGUUUAGCGAGCGAAAAUUCUUGUUAGAUUCAUUUAAAAAGUGUUGUAUAGUUCAACUUUUAUAUAUAAUAAAUUCAUAAUGAAAUGUGGGAACAAUUCAAUAUGUGUGUGUUAAAAACAUAACAGUACAGAGAAAUUCGGUAUGUACUCGUCAAAAAAAAUCGCAUCAGUUCAAGAGGCACGGAAAAGAAAAUUUGGUGCCAAUAAAGUUCAAGGGAAAAAACAACUUUAAAAAGAAACGUGAUAAGCUCACAAAUUAAUUCUAUGACAUUGACGUCCAAGUUCUACAACUGAUCCGUACAAACAAAAACGGUGGUCCGUUCUACAAAGGAAAAUUGGUUUAAUUAAAAAUAUUGAUCAGUACAAGUUAAAAUGAUGGUCCGUUCGGAAUAAAAGAAAUGACAGAAAUUCAAAUUGUAAAAGUUCAAGCAAAAGGAAACGCCGUGCAAUUCAAAUGGUAAAAGUACAAGUCAUAAAAUAAGAGAAGUUCAGAACAUCGUUGUAAAAAAAUGUUUAGUUCAAAAAAAAGAAUAAAAAAA
This 4852-nucleotide long non-coding RNA is filed under the name Triticum aestivum (bread wheat). Its description in RNAcentral is "long non-coding RNA (TAES_LNC008996)". Lineage: Eukaryota; Viridiplantae; Streptophyta; Magnoliopsida; Poales; Poaceae. The record is from RNAcentral.